CGGCGUGUGGCGCAGCCUGGUAGCGCACUUGCUUCGGGAGCAAGGGGUCGGAGGUUCGAAUCCUCUCACGCCGACCA
This 77-nucleotide transfer RNA is filed under the name Chitinimonas sp. BJB300. RNAcentral describes it as "tRNA-Pro". It matches the Rfam family "tRNA". From Rfam's summary of the family: Transfer RNA (tRNA) molecules are approximately 80 nucleotides in length. Their secondary structure includes four short double-helical elements and three loops (D, anti-codon, and T loops). Further hydrogen bonds mediate the characteristic L-shaped molecular structure. tRNAs have two regions of fundamental functional importance: the anti-codon, which is responsible for specific mRNA codon recognition, and the 3' end, to which the tRNAs corresponding amino acid is attached (by aminoacyl-tRNA synthetases). tRNAs cope with the degeneracy of the genetic code in two manners: having more than one tRNA (with a specific anti-codon) for a particular amino acid; and 'wobble' base-pairing, i.e. permitting non-standard base-pairing at the 3rd anti-codon position. Lineage: Bacteria; Pseudomonadati; Pseudomonadota; Betaproteobacteria; Neisseriales; Chitinibacteraceae. RNAcentral also lists the same sequence under 1 other name. The record is from RNAcentral.